RNAcentral lists this long non-coding RNA (380 nucleotides) under Mytilus galloprovincialis (Mediterranean mussel). The record is from RNAcentral. Lineage: Eukaryota; Metazoa; Mollusca; Bivalvia; Mytilida; Mytilidae.
ACACACACACAGAACCGGACUAAGCAUUAGACACAAUCCUUUGGGAAUAACAAAUAUAACAUCAAAACCAAAAACAUGAAUUUGGGAUAGAUAAGUACCGUGACACGUCUUAUAGUGAUGUGAAUUCACAUUAAAAAAAAGGAGAAAACAAACGACACAACGGAAACACAACGUUAAAAUGUAACACACACAGAAACGAACUAUAAUAUAACAAUGGCCAUAUUUCUGACUUGGUUCAGGACAUUUUUAAAGGAAAAAAUGGUGGGUUGAACCUGGUAUUGUGUCAUGUCAAACCUCCCUCUUUUAUGGCAAUGUGAAAUAUAACAUUAAAAUGACAACACAACAUUACAGGACUACAAUAUAAAUAAAUAGGAGAACAC